Molecule: ribosomal RNA, 346 nt
Filed under: uncultured Leuconostoc sp.
Lineage: Bacteria; Bacillati; Bacillota; Bacilli; Lactobacillales; Lactobacillaceae
Description: bacterial SSU rRNA
Rfam family: Bacterial small subunit ribosomal RNA
Source: RNAcentral
UAGCAGUAGGGAAUCUUCCACAAUGGGCGAAAGCCUGAUGGAGCAACGCCGCGUGUGUGAUGAAGGCUUUCGGGUCGUAAAGCACUGUUGUAUGGGAAGAACAGCUAGAAUAGGAAAUGAUUUUAGUUUGACGGUACCAUACCAGAAAGGGACGGCUAAAUACGUGCCAGCAGCCGCGGUAAUACGUAUGUCCCGAGCGUUAUCCGGAUUUAUUGGGCGUAAAGCGAGCGCAGAAGGUUUAUUAGGUCUGAUGUGAAAGCCCGGAGCUCAACUCCGGAAUGGCAUUGGAAACUGGUUAACUUGAGUGCAGUAGAGGUAAGUGGAACUCCAUGUGUAGCGGUGGAAU